This 584-nucleotide ribosomal RNA is filed under the name uncultured Gammaproteobacteria bacterium. RNAcentral describes it as "bacterial SSU rRNA". It matches the Rfam family "Bacterial small subunit ribosomal RNA", at positions 66 to 653 of the family's 1533-position model. Lineage: Bacteria; Pseudomonadati; Pseudomonadota; Gammaproteobacteria. The record is from RNAcentral.
GCGAAAGGCUUUCGGGCCGAGUAGAGCGGCGGACGGGUAGUAACGCGUAGGAAUCUACCUGGUAGUGGGGGACAACUUGGGGAAACUCAAGCUAAUACCGCAUACGCCCUAUGGGGGAAAGCGGGGGACCUUCGGGCCUCGCGCUAUCAGAUGAGCCAGCGUAGGAUUAGCUAGUUGGUGAGGUAAAGGCUCACCAAGGCGACGAUCCUUAGCUGGUCUGAGAGGAUGAUCAGCCACACUGGGACUGAGACACGGCCCAGACUCCUACGGGAGGCAGCAGUGGGGAAUAUUGCGCAAUGGGGGAAACCCUGACGCAGCCAUGCCGCGUGUGUGAAGAAGGCCUUCGGGUUGUAAAGCACUUUCACUUGGGAAGAAAAGUACACCGCUAAUAGCGGUGUGCCCUGACAUUACCUUGAGAAGAAGCACCGGCUAACUCCGUGCCAGCAGCCGCGGUAAUACGGAGGGUGCGAGCGUUAAUCGGAAUUACUGGGCGUAAAGCGCGCGUAGGCGGUUUGUUAAGUCAGCUGUGAAAGCCCCGGCUCAACCUGGGAACUGCAGUUGAUACUGCCGACUGGAGUGCGAGA